Long non-coding RNA from Triticum aestivum (bread wheat), 1123 nucleotides. RefSeq lists it as uncharacterized. The record is from RefSeq and is a predicted model, not a curated record. Lineage: Eukaryota; Viridiplantae; Streptophyta; Magnoliopsida; Poales; Poaceae. The transcript has 2 exons.
UCGGUGUAGUGCCGUAAGAUGGCGUCGGUGUAGUGCCGUAAGUUGGUGUCGGUGUCAGUGUCGGGUUGUAGCCUCCUCCUGACCCAUGCGUGGGAGUUGGUGAGCCCCCAUCUGGUAAGGUAUACAGAAUUGCAGCUAUCAGUACCGUGAAAUCUAGAUAGCAUGAAGUUGCUUUGCAUUGUUCUCAGUCCUUAUUGCCUAGAAACGAUGCUGUUUAUGUUCAGCACAAAUUCAUUUCAUGUUUGCAUUAGCUAGGUAGAUGCAGUAUGCAGUGAUCUGCCUAUCCAUGGAUCGCUGUAAUAGAUGCAGUGCAGUGCUACUCUAUGAAGUACUAAUAAAUACAGUGCUACACAGAAGGGAUGGGGUUAAAACAUACAGUGGGUCUUCUGCUCAUGCAACUCUCCCAGGCUCCUGCACGAGCUCAGUGAAACAAGCCCCACCAAGACGGCACUCAUCAGAAGAACCUUGCCACCCAUAUUGCUCUCAGUGUGUGCAGACAGGACAGAAUAAGCAACUGAACUGAACUGGUGGAGAUGCUUGAGUUGAUGAACUGAAGGGUCUCUAGAUGCCUAUUUAUACACGAGAGUGGCACUCGACAGUUGUGUUGAUUCCAUUGCAUUUGCAUGCAUGAACCUGUAUAUGUUCAUCACACUGUUAGUAGUUGGCUAUCAAUUAAUGGCUUCGAUUCGUCCAGCUAGCCAGGCAUGACGGUGAUCUGCUCGCACUCUCGACCAAGCUUCCACUGCUUCUUUCUGUACGGAAUGGAAUACUCUCCGGUCCCGAAGAUUUAAUUGUGAUCGGCGCUUGCCAACUACUCGGUGUACUUAAACUAUGCAUCGAGCUGGAUUUGAUGCUCUGACUCCAGAAUAGAAUUUGGGAAAUCCAAUUGAAACAUGGUGGGGUAUGUUUUCUUGCUUCUACUGGAAUCUGGAGGCCCUGGAUGAUCCCAACCCAUUUUACUCUUGCAUUUUUUUUGUGUUACUGAAGCUGUGUUUUGGUCCAACUGGAAGGUGGUGAUUCGGUCUGCUUUUGCUACAAGUCUAACACCUGUAAACGUCGUGCAUUUCAUCUUUAGAUAAAUGUGAACAAGGAAUUUUGCUUAUUACCACAGAUUUGUGUUGCA